GACGAACGCUGGCGGCGUGCUUAACACAUGCAAGUCGAACGGAAAGGCCCUGCUUUUGUGGGGUGCUCGAGUGGCGAACGGGUGAGUAACACGUGAGUAACCUGCCCUUGACUUUGGGAUAACUUUAGGAAACUGGGGCUAAUACCGGAUAGGAGCUCCUGCUGCAUGGUGGGGGUUGGAAAGUUUCGGCGGUUGGGGAUGGACUCGCGGCUUAUCAGCUUGUUGGUGGGGUAGUGGCUUACCAAGGCUUUGACGGGUAGCCGGCCUGAGAGGGUGACCGGCCACAUUGGGACUGAGAUACGGCCGAGACUCCUACGGGAGGCAGCAGUGGGGAAUAUUGCACAAUGGGCGGAAGCCUGAUGCAGCAACGCCGCGUGCGGGAUGACGGCCUUCGGGUUGUAAACCGCUUUCGCCUGUGACGAAGCGUGAGUGACGGUAAUGGGUAAAGAAGCACCGGCUAACUACGUG
This 468-nucleotide ribosomal RNA is filed under the name uncultured bacterium. Its description in RNAcentral is "partial 16S ribosomal RNA". It matches the Rfam family "Bacterial small subunit ribosomal RNA", at positions 28 to 507 of the family's 1533-position model. The record is from RNAcentral.